Molecule: ribosomal RNA, 490 nt
Filed under: uncultured bacterium
Lineage: Bacteria
Description: partial 16S ribosomal RNA
Rfam family: Bacterial small subunit ribosomal RNA
Source: RNAcentral
AGGGAAAGCGGGGGGCAGGCUUAACACAUGCAAGUCGAGCGGUAGCACAAGAGAGCUUGCUCUCUGGGUGACGAGCGGCGGACGGGUGAGUAAUGUCUGGGAAACUGCCUGAUGGAGGGGGAUAACUACUGGAAACGGUAGCUAAUACCGCAUAACGUCGCAAGACCAAAGAGGGGGACCUUCGGGCCUCUUGCCAUCAGAUGUGCCCAGAUGGGAUUAGCUAGUAGGUGGGGUAAUGGCUCACCUAGGCGACGAUCCCUAGCUGGUCUGAGAGGAUGACCAGCCACACUGGAACUGAGACACGGUCCAGACUCCUACGGGAGGCAGCAGUGGGGAAUAUUGCACAAUGGGCGCAAGCCUGAUGCAGCCAUGCCGCGUGUGUGAAGAAGGCCUUCGGGUUGUAAAGCACUUUCAGCGAGGAGGAAGGUGGUGAACUUAAUACGUUCAUCAAUUGACGUUACUCGCAGAAGAAGCACCGGCUAACUCCGUG